GAUGAACGCUGGCGGCGUGCCUAAUACAUGCAAGUCGAGCGAACAGACGAGGAGCUUGCUCCUCUGACGUUAGCGGCGGACGUGCGAGUAACACGUGGAUAACCUACUUAUAAGACUGGGAUAACUUCGGGAAACCGGAGCUAAUACCGGAUAAUAUAUUGAACCGCAUGGUUCAAUAGUGAAAGACGGUUUUGCUGUCUCUCAUAGAUGGAUCCGCGCCGCAUUAGCUAGUUGGUAAGGUAACGGCUUACCAAGGCAACGAUGCGUAGCCGACCUGAGAGGGUGAUCGCCCACCCUGGAACUGAGACACGGUCCAGACUCCUACGGGAGGAACCAGUAGGGAAUCUUCCGAAAUGGGCGAAAGCCUGACGGAGCAACGCCGCGUGAGUGAUGAAGGUCUUCGGAUCGUAAAACUCUGUUAUUAGGGAAGAACAAAUGUGUAAGUAACUAUGCACGUCUUGACGGUACCUUAUCAGAAAGCCACGGCUAACUACGUG
Molecule: ribosomal RNA, 497 nt
Filed under: uncultured bacterium
Lineage: Bacteria
Description: partial 16S ribosomal RNA
Rfam family: Bacterial small subunit ribosomal RNA
Source: RNAcentral